RNAcentral lists this ribosomal RNA (1491 nucleotides) under uncultured Bordetella sp. RNAcentral describes it as "partial 16S-23S ribosomal RNA intergenic spacer". It matches the Rfam family "Bacterial small subunit ribosomal RNA". Lineage: Bacteria; Pseudomonadati; Pseudomonadota; Betaproteobacteria; Burkholderiales; Alcaligenaceae. The record is from RNAcentral.
GGUUUGAUUCUGGUCGAUUAACGCUGGCGGGAUGCUUUAGCACAUGCAAGUCGAACGGCCGCACGGACUUCGGUCUGGUGGGCGAGUGGCGAACGGGUGAGUAAUGUAUCGGAACGUGCCUAGUAGCGGGGGAUAACUACGCGAAAGUGGUGGCUAAUACCGCAUACGCCCUUCGGGGGAAAGGACCUUCGGGCCUCGCACCAUUAGGAGCGGAAGCCGAUAUCGGAUUAGCUAGUUGGUGGGGUAACGGCUCACCAAGGCGACGAUCCGUAGCUGGUUUGAGAGGACGACCAGCCACACUGGGACUGAGACACGGCCCAGACUCCUACGGGAGGCAGCGGGGAAUUUUGGACAAUGGGGGAAACCCUGAUCCAGCCAUCCCGCGCGUGCGAUGAAGGCCCGGUUGAAAAGACUUUUGGCAGGAAAGGAAACGGCACGGGAUAAUACCCGUGCAACUGACGGGUAUCUGCAGAAUAAGCACCAGCCAUAUCCGAUGCCAGCCAGUGGCUGCUGUAGAAUACGGGUAGGGAAAAAGCGUUAUCUGGAAUCACUGGGCGCAAAGGCGCGGCGCGGUCUGUAAGCGGUGAUGCAGUCCAGAGCUUAACUUUGAACUGCACAUUUUUAACUACUGAGCUGGAGUGUGUCAGAGGGAGGUGGAAUUCCGGCGUGUAGCAGUGAAAUGCGUAGAUAUGCGUGAGGAACACCGAUGGCGAAGGCAGCCUCUGAUAACACUGACGCCUGCGCACGAAAGCGGGGAGCAAACAGGAUUAGAUACCCUGGUGAAAAUCCACGCCCUAAACAGAUGUCAAAUUAGCUGUUGGGGCCUUCGGGCCUUGUAGCGCAGCUAACGCGUGAAGUUGGACUCCGUUUCUCCGGGAGUACGGUCGCAAGAUUAAAACCAAAGGAAUUGACGGGGACUCCCGCACAAGCGGUGGAUGAUGUGGAUUAAUUGAUGCAACGCGGAAAAAACCUUACCUACCUUGACAUGUCUGGAAUCCCGAAGAGAUUUGGUAAAGCUCAAGAGAACCGGAACAGGUGCUGCAUGGCUGUCGUCAGCUCGUGUCGUGGAGAUGUUGCAGUUAAGUCCCGCAACGAGUGGCAACCCUUGUCAUUAGUUGCUACGAAAGGGCACUCUAUCGAGACUGCCGGUAUAAACCGGGAGGAAGGUGGGAUGACGUCAGUCCUCAUGGCCCUUAUGGCAGGGGCCCACAUACAAUGGUCGGGACAGAGGGUCGCCAACCCGCGAGGGGGAGCCAAUCCCAGAGAAACCCGAUCGUAGAAGUCCGGAUCGCAGUUUUCGUCUGCAACUCGACUGCGUGGAAGUCGAAAUCGCUAGGUAAUCGCGGAUCAGCAUGUCAGGUGAAUACGUUCCCGGUCUUGUACACACCGCCCGUCACCCAUGAGUGGUUUUACCAGAAGUAGCUAGCUCAACUGUAAGGAGGGCGAUUACCACGGUAGGAUUCAUGACUGGGUGAAGUCGCAACAAGGUAG